CAGCUUUGAAGAGUGGUUCCAUCACCUCAUGCUGAAGAAACAUAAUCUUCUGUAGCAGAUCUCCUGGUUGCCUCCCACCCAGAAGUUAACAGCAAUGUCAUGAGCAGUUUUUCAAAAAGUAAAUCUUGCGUGCUACAAAAUCUCAAAUCAGUUUUGAUGUGGUCGGAGUAUUCUCAAGGCUGGUGAUGUGUUGUCAGGACAGCAACAUCUCAGCUGGAAGGGGUGCAGUUUUUCUCGUGGCGCACCAAACAACCCACAAAAAUUAUGGUAUUUCUUGUCACUGAGAAGAUGGUCGUGACUGUCAUAAAGUUGCAGGUACCAAGGCAACAGUCUGACUGAUACCGGUGGGCUAUCAGCAUUACCUGCUGGACAAGCAUAUAACAACACAUGAAAUACUACAAAGUUAUAAAAUCUCAGUUUUAUCCAAGGUACCCACUAGCAUCCCAGUUCUUAGAAGUAUUUGAUCCUUUGAAGCAUGUGUUUUUGCUAAAAGUUAUCUCCCAUGCAAAUGCUAGUGCUAUGCAGCAUGUCCAAAUAUGCUUGGAGUUCAGGAAAGGAUAGCUUUCAUCACACUGAGCUUGGCUUUCCCAUCUCACUAUUCAAUAUUCUACCCCUGACCAUGCUUGCAACAAUUGUUGUACAAUAAUGCUUUCUGAAUUCACUCUGAGAGUGGGUGGCUGACAUCAGUUGCAUGAAAAGGGGCCAAGAUGCAUUCCCAAACAUUUGUUUCCACACUGAUUGCACAAGUAAGGCAAGCCUGAACUUGAAGAUAAUCACCUGAAUACUAAAAAUCCUCGAAAUGGAUUUUUUUCCAAACUGGAAAAAGAGCAGAGCGGUGACUGUGCUUGAGGGUCUGUUGCUGCAACAUUUGUGGUCUGCAAUGGCAGCGCAUCAGUAGAGUUAGAGAAGUGAUGGUGUUCAGCAUGAGGGGCUGGUGCAUGGAUGCACCAAUGGCCUUGACAAGCUUCUAGCCUUUCAAAAUGACGCUGAACAUUCAGGAGAUGCUCCUUCUGGCCACAGCCAUGUGGUUUACUUCUAUGAAACGCUGAGAUGUGAACAAAAGGCUUGCCUGCAUGUGAAAAAUGCUACGCUGCUCAUUUUUUUCUGCUGUCAAACUUAAAGCAGUGAUGUCAGGCAAAGCAGAAUGAUGCACUGCCUCUGCCUGAUCCUGGAGCCAGCAAAGUUACAGGAAGCAUCACUGCAGUUUCUAAGGCUUUCUUUCAAAUUCCAUUGCUUCUCCAACACAAUAACACCUUCCAACCAGAGACUCUGCAGCCAUCUGAUGUAAAAGGGGUGAGCUUAUUGGUGUGAUUGGCUGGGUGAGUGGAAGCCGGUGAAUACCAAUAAAAUAAAGUCCUUGAAUGCCUGGGGAUGAGGUUACUCCUCGAUAGCACUUUUCCUGCUCUGUGUCAUUAUAACAACAGUUUGUGCAUGGAUGAACACCUUGGGGAGUACCUGCAUGAUUAGUUCAUCUAGCCAUAGUGGCAGUUAGUUCAAGCACUCAGCAGUCCUGCAAAGAAUCACUAUUACCUCUUAAAAAAUAAUAACAGCAAUAGGCCACUGCCUGCGUCUCAUAAUAUUAUGGAGAAGGGAGGAAAACAGAUUGUUGUUCCCCAAAGUCUAACUUCACUUUGGGAGCAUUUCCAUAAUUCCAUUAUUGCUCCCUGUUCUGAUGUGAGAUCAGUUCUUAGCACAUCAUUUUUCGGUAAAUGGGCUAAAGCAUUUAAAAUAUAACUGUGACUCAAAAGAAGUCUCUGUUUGCCUGGAAUUGUUUCUGCUUGGAAUGAAACCAAAUAUAGCAGUUCUCAGUUCUUGAACUUUUUCAUGCAUUUCCAUGGCGCUCAAGCUGCGGGUCAGAAUUGCCUUAACCCCAGCAUUCGUAGCAUUCAUAACAACAUGAAAUUGAUAUUGGCAAUUAUGAGCAUACUUACUGUCCAACAGGUUGUACCGUUAGCACUGACAUGUCUGACGUAUACUUUUGGGCUUUUUACUUUUCUGAGAUUUUGCUGGUCUCUUUCUCUCAAAGAAGAUCUUGGUGUAGAGGUGAUAUUUAUGAUGUGUAAUAUCAGCUCUCAAUCUUGGUUUUAGUGAUUGGGAUAACAGUGCUCUCAAUGCACUGUAAUUUUCCAUUCCUUUUUCCAUAGUCUAAAAAAUCACAUCAGGUAGAAGAUAAAAUAAGAGAAAUUUAAGUGAGGAACUGGUCGCCGUAUGGCUGACACCCAAAAUCUCAGCAAUUUGAGGGGAUGGAAGUGGAAAAAGAUGAAGUAAAUUCCACAAAAUUUAUACCAUAAGUAGGUGGCAGCUGCUAGUAAAGAACAAAAGCAGAAAGGAAAAGAACACUGAUAAGCAAUGUUAUGAUGAUGCAUGAAAACAGAUCUUAAGGUAGCCAUCCACACACAACGUCCUAAUCUUUUUACCAGAUUUCUUAUAAAAAAUCUAUUUUUAACCAUGAAGAUUACCUUUACCCACUUGAUCUGGAUUUAUAAGCUGAAAUAUAUUUUGGUAGUGGAAAUGAACUCACUUGCUGCCAUCGCUGGCUGCUUGUUCUCCUCUUUUCUCUGUCGAAAGAGAAUGCUGUGGGCUUAGGUUCAUGGCAUAAUUCUGCAAAUCACGCCCAGCUCAAAAGCACACAGUACUGCCAUCAUUAGUGCUGCAUGAAAUAGUUUAAACAAUAACAUACGAUUGGAAUUGAGAUGGUCUGAGGCUCUGUUCCUUGUAUCACCUUGGACAAGGCACUUGGAUCUUCUCAAAUAUGACAUUGAAAAAAAACAAUAUUUGUUGCUUAUUAUAAAAUCUUUAAACUUGUCUUACAAGAAUUGCAAUAUUGGCAUUUUCUACAAGAAAUGUCUGUGGGCUGCCAUGGUUCUGGUACUGGAUUUUCUAAAGGCUGAACAUCUAUGUAGUUGUACUAACCUACAAUUUGUUUCAUUUUAGUGAGUUAAACUAUAUGGCCUCUGGAUUAAUUUCCCCCUAAUGCAAUUCCACCAGUGAAUAUAGAAACUUACUCCUUAUGCUUUGGAAAACUGUACUGAAGGAAUAUGGAGACUAAAAUCUCUUCUUCUAUGCCUAACGGGAAAAAAAUUACAUUUCUCCAGGUUGACAAGGCUAGGGGUCUGAAGAGAGUGAUAGCUGGCUGUGUUGCAGACAAACCCUCCCCAGCUUUUGUGGUGUAAGCAGACAGCUAUCUUGCCCACACACAUAGAUUAAUUUAUGCCUACGCAUGUCUUUUUCCUCCCCAGUGUGUAAACUUGUUCAAUAAACUGUAGUAAUGCAACAUGUGAAACAGAGGUCGAAAUCCUGGAGGCUUAUCAGAUGUUACAUUUUGUUAUCUAAAAAAGUUACAGUAUUUUAAAUCAGAAAAACAUGUUGAUCUCAGUCGUGGAAGACACCGACUUCUGCAGCCUAACCAAGAGAACUUAGAAACAAAUGACUGAAAUGAAAGAUGUGAGUAGUUCAGCUGUAGUGAUGAGACUGUGACUAUGUUUGAAACUAAGUGUUUGUUUAAAUCUUUUUUUCCUGUACUGUGUUGCUCUGCAGCUGUUAGGACUGAGAGUAUUUUCAUUAUUGCCUUUUCAUCCGUUGACGACCUGUCCUGAUCGUUUAUGCCUAUUGAUAUUGUUUGCAUAGUUUUGUUGGAGAGGCACUGAGAUUUGUCAAAACCCAAGGUAAAAAAAAGAUCAGGGCAUAGAUUUAUUUUUUAUAAGAAUUUGACUUUUGAGACAGCUUAAAUAUUUGUCAUUCAGAUUAUGCUAUAAUAUGUAGUAAUGCAUUAAUGAAGGGAAGUUUUGUAUGCCUUGAAGGAACUUUAGAGACACAGUCUUGCUAUUUGUACAACUACAUUGCCCAAGUUAUGUAGCGUUUCUCCCCCAAAUUCACAUUUAUUAAAAAACUUGACAUUUGGUUAGUUAACCUGCAAAAUAGUUGUGUUUUUUUUUUCUCUGAUAUAGUACUGGAGACUUCUGACUAGCAGAAUAAUACGUCUAGUGCCUCAGGGACUUCCUAUGAGGAGGAGGGGUGAAAAUCUAUAGAACCUGUUAACACUUUGAUUUCAGUUUUGUGUUUUUUUUUUUUUUUUUUUGGGGGGGGGGGGGAUAUAAGUUACAUAUUGGCUACAUUUCCACUGAGGUUUCAUUGAGUAAAUUUUAUCAGAUGAGCAUAAAAGGUCAUUCUAGUGGCUUCACAAAUAAUAAUAGCUGAGAUAAUGAAAUGUCUACUUUUUCCUCUUUGAUAUUUCCCAAAUACUGUGAUGAUCUCCCAGUUCUUCCAGACAAGUCUUUUCCAAAUGACCUGCUAUGUUUUAUCAAAAAUAUUUUCCUGUAUUAGAGGAGAGGUAAAUUGAAGAAAGAAAAGAAAGGACAUCCUAAAAUGAUGUCAAAAUUCAACAAAGAUCUUAAAUCUGUUAUGAUGUCACGCCUUACAUGUAUUUAUGUAGCAGCUCUAUUUAAGGAUUGUGAUAUUUCCAGAGGUUCUUAAUUGGCAAAGUUUCUUAUCUGAAAGUUGCAUUAUAGGAAAUUAGCAUACCUAACACUUCAUUUCAAAAUCUAAAAAAAUGAAAUAGAAAUAUAGGAAUGUUUAUUUCAUUUCACACAGAUAGAGUUGUUAUUCUGGAGGGGCUUGAAAAUAUGAGAGGUUAAAAACAAGCAGUUUGGGUUUUUCUUAGUCUUGUUGAAAUGCUGAGGAAGAUCAUUACUUGUCAUUGCACAGAUAACUACUAUAGGGAUAUAAAAUCGAGAAGUUCUCUGCUGUCUGUCAACACUGCAGUAACAUUUACAAGCGUAAGCCCAUGCUUAUGAGGAGACAACGAAAACCCUGUUUUGUGCCUCUUUCAACAUAUACCACUUAUAUAUAGUUAUUUUAUUUGCACAACUAUUUGCAUUUCCUGUUACUUCUACUGAAUAAAAAAUUAUGGUAACAAUAUUUUUAACUCAGCUGAGAUGGCAGGAAGUGCAACUCAGAGUAGAAAAGUGUCAUAAUAAUAUAAACAAGUCCGAGGUGCCUAUGAUCAGUAUCUAAUUGACUUAAACUUGAACUAUAGAACUACAGUUUAGGUAAAAAGUGGAAGCUUCUCUAGUUCGCUCUUCUCCACUGUUUUCCAGCAACAAGUUGUAUCCUGUUCACUAUGCUUUAUAAAACCCCAUUCCAUUUUGAAGCCCCCUAGAUGUGAAGACUCCAGCUUCUCCAACAUAAGUUUCUUCUAAUGGUUAACAGUGGAAAAACUGUCUUUUGGAAUUGCUUCCUGAAAUUUUAAUGUCGCUUCUUCUUAUUAAGUUGAACUCUGUUUCUAGAUAUUGCUUGUUCAUCCCACAAGAAUUAUUUCUUCAACACUUCAGUACAUAUGGAUGGUUACCACAUUUUCUUCACCUCCACUUUGGCCGUAGUUGCCCAAAGCAACUUGCCCAAGGCAAAUACAACCAUUUUUUCCUCA
Numida meleagris (helmeted guineafowl) is the source of this 5425-nucleotide long non-coding RNA. RefSeq lists it as uncharacterized. The transcript has 2 exons. NCBI's taxonomy places the organism in Eukaryota, Metazoa, Chordata, Aves, Galliformes, Numididae. The record is from RefSeq and is a predicted model, not a curated record.